AACGAACGCUGGCGGCAUGCCUAACACAUGCAAGUCGAACGAGACCUUCGGGUCUAGUGGGGCAGGGGUGCGUAACGCGUUGGAACCUGCCCUUAGGUUCGGAAUAACUCCCCGAAAGGGGCGCUAAUACCGGAUAAUAUCAUCGGACCAAAGAUUUAUUGCCUUGGGAUGGGCUCGCGUUGGUUAGCUAGUUGGUAGGGUAAAAGCCUACCAAGGGGACGAUCCAUAGCGGGUCUGAGAGGCUGAUCAGUCACUCUGGGACUGAGACGCGGCCCAGACUCCUACGGGAGGCAGCAGUGGGUGAUAUGGGACAAUGGGCGGAGUCCUGAUGCAGCACUGCCGCGUGAGUGAUGAAGGCCUUAGGGUUGUCAAGCUCUUUUACCCGGGAUGAUAAUGACAGUACCGGCAGAAUAAGCUCCGGCUAACUACGUG
This 432-nucleotide ribosomal RNA is filed under the name uncultured bacterium. RNAcentral describes it as "partial 16S ribosomal RNA". It matches the Rfam family "Bacterial small subunit ribosomal RNA", at positions 29 to 507 of the family's 1533-position model. The record is from RNAcentral.